AGGGAGGGACACUGUUAGAAACAUGGAUGAGACCACAUUGACUCAGACAAACGAGGCUUGGCAUUGACGCCAGUCUAGUGAAUAAACUUAAAAUUGUUGACACCCAACCAGACAAGAGGGAGGGGCAACGAUGAGUUGAGACACGAGGUGUGAACAUUUAAACUAUAUCGUGAUCGUUAAAUUAUAGAAAAAUAAACAUCUGUAGACCCUUUGGGCCGCAGAGAUGUAUUGCGGUUUUAAACCCAAUUUCCUUCAAUUCUACACAUUUUGUCACGCGGCUGAGAGAAGAUGUAAGUUAACGCUUAUUUCCUAAAAUUCUACACAUUUUGUCACGCGGCUUUAUACCGUGUUCUUAUGCUAUCUGAGUGACUAAACAUGCUAACAAAUAUCAAAUGGGGCACCAUGUCAUGGCUGCAAUUUUAGAAUCUCCCUGACUAGUUUAUAUUUUGGUAAUAGUUACUUCAUCUGAGAUAUUAUUCAAAUAAAAAAUAAGUUCAUAGUGAAAAUGUUUUACCACCCCCCCAAAAAAUAAAAAUAAAAUGUAAUCAUCGUAUUUGAGUGGUGGACCACCACAGCUAAAUUAAUAUAGGGGAAACAGAUGAUGAAAUGCAAUGUUUACAAGGAGGACUUCAUCUCUAGAACCAGUACAGAUGCAAUGCUUAACAAUCUGAAGGGGAGUGGGCAGCAGCGCAGGUCGCCAGACAGGCGGGGCCCGUCACACUAAAGGGGAGUGGGCAGCAGCGCAGGUCGCCAGACAGACGGGGCCCGUCACACUGAAGGGGAGUGGGCAGCAGCGCAGGUCGCCAGACAGACGGGGCCCGUCACACUAAAGGGGAGUGGGCAGCAGCGCAGGUCGCCAGACAGACGGGGCCCGUCACACUAAAGGGGAGUGGGCAGCAGCGCAGGUCGCCAGACAGACGGGGCCCGUCACACUAAAGGGGAGUGGGCAGCAGCGCAGGUCGCCAGACAGGCGGGGCCCGUCACACUAAAGGGGAGUGGGCAGCAGCGCAGGUCGCCAGACAGGCGGGGCCCGUCACACUAAAGGGGAGUGGGCAGCAGCGCAGGUCGCCAGACAGACGGGGCCCGUCACACUAAAGGGGAGUGGGCAGCAGCGCAGGUCGCCAGACAGACGGGGCCCGUCACACUAAAGGGGAGUGGGCAGCAGCGCAGGUCGCCAGACAGACGGGGCCCGUCACACUAAAGGGGAGUGGGCAGCAGCGCAGGUCGCCAGACAGGCGGGGCCCGUCACACUAAAGGGGAGUGGGCAGCAGCGCAGGUCGCCAGACAGGCGGGGCCCGUCACACUAAAGGGGAGUGGGCAGCAGCGCAGGUCGCCAGACAGACGGGGCCCGUCACACUAAAGGGGAGUGGGCAGCAGCGCAGGUCGCCAGACAGACGGGGCCCGUCACACUAAAGGGGAGUGGGCAGCAGCGCAGGUCGCCAGACAGACGGGGCCCGUCACACUAAAGGGUAACACAAUCACAACGCCGAUUACAGAAAUGACUGCAUUUGAUAUGCAGCCAUUGUCAAAAUGGUAGACGCCCGUUUCAAUACCCUAAAGGCAUACCUAGAACCACACUAUAAGACCCCACGUUGAAAAACCAUGACGGCCUGGGACGGAGAAACUAUUGCUCUGCAUGUACAAAGCGCCAGAUUUCCAACACCAUGUGUUGUGUUAACAGGUUGGAUAUCUAUGACCACGCCGUCAUACAGCGCUGCUAGCAGCCAUCACAUUGAUGAGAAGUGGGACACGAAGACGCUUGUACUGACCACAUGGAGUAGAGGCACACAGCAGAGAACCUAAAACAGUAGCCAGGAGUGCAGUAGAUUGAACUACAUCGCCCCCUGGCGGUCAUAAGCAGGACCAUAUCUGCAUUGUGAAUUCAUUAUAGGAUUCCUUGAUAUUGUUUCAACAGCCAUUUAUUUUUUUUAAUGGCUGUUUAAAACAUUAAGAAAAAUGUUGUCACAUCCUUAGUUGGAGGACCGCGGGCCGUAUGGGGACGACCUGGCUCCUUCUGAUAUUUCUGAAUGUUUCUGCUACCACCACC
This is a long non-coding RNA of Oncorhynchus keta (chum salmon), 2047 nucleotides long. RefSeq lists it as uncharacterized. The transcript has 5 exons. Lineage: Eukaryota; Metazoa; Chordata; Actinopteri; Salmoniformes; Salmonidae. The record is from RefSeq and is a predicted model, not a curated record.